This 275-nucleotide ribosomal RNA is filed under the name uncultured bacterium. RNAcentral describes it as "partial 16S ribosomal RNA". It matches the Rfam family "Bacterial small subunit ribosomal RNA", at positions 523 to 796 of the family's 1533-position model. The record is from RNAcentral.
ACACGUAGGGAGCAAGCGUUGUCCGGAUUUAUUGGGCGUAAAGAGCUCGUAGGCGGUUUUGUAAGUCGGAUGUGAAAACUCAGGGCUCAACCCUGAGACGCCAUCCGAUACUGCAAUGACUAGAGUCCGGUAGGGGAGCAUGGAAUUCCUGGUGUAGCGGUGGAAUGCGCAGAUAUCAGGAGGAACACCAGUGGCGAAGGCGGUGCUCUGGGCCGGUACUGACGCUGAGGAGCGAAAGCAUGGGGAGCAAACAGGAGUAGAAACCCCAGUAGUCC